GCACGCGCGAACAGACCACUGUGUUAAAAGUAAUACCCUGUACAUCGCGACUCGGUGCACGAAACGAACUUUUGUGUUAAUCUGUGCUACGCAAUGGAUAUUGUUACUUUGGACCCAACUGGACUAUAUUGAAAACUGGGAAUAAUUGAUCGCCAAUAUGGACGUACUGACCCUAGAUCCUACCGGUCAGUACUAACUGUCGAUGGCUUUUAAGAGUUUGGACCCGACUGGUGUGUAUUGAACUUUCUUAUUAGAAUCUUACUUGAUAAAAUGGAGGUAAAGGUUCUUGAUCCUACCGGACAAUAUUAAAGCUACAAAAUGAUCGGGCUAGAUCCCACAGAAAUCUAUUAAACCUUUUCUACCUUCUAUGAGGCAAUAUGUGCUGCGGCAGACGGAGAAUUCUUACUGGCACGCGCCCGGAGGAGACAUCUUCUUGCAGGAAGAGGAGGCUCUCGAUUGAGACCUAACUGACUGCCAAAUUAUGACAACAGCUGUAAAUAAUCAGAAAAAAAUGAAGGGGGGCGUGUACGCAAGGUCAUUGGAUGGAAAUCAGCUGACUUGCGCGCCGCGUGCUAUCCGGAAAUGCAGACAUAGAAAAAAUACUUUGUGCAGUAACUUGGCCUAAAAACACGCCUGUUACAGAAGAUCCUUAUUCUGAUGACACAUAUUCCCGCUUCGCUCAGCAGCUUUCGUCUUCAUUAUCUCAAGAGAACUCCAUAAAAUGUUCGAUCAAUACUCACUAGUUUUAAGUGCUAUUUGACUGAAUAAAUGAUUCUUUUUCGAGAACUUACAUAUCUUUCAUGCAUUUGUAUUUUAUAUAAAUUAUUGUAUUUAAAAAAAAUAUAUAAUUAUAAGUUGAUGCGGCUUUGUUGACAGUUGUAUAAAAAAAGGUUGUUGUGAAUAGAUAAGAGAUUUAUAUUUUUUUCUAAAUUCUAGCUUAGACAUAUUUAAGGUACUGAUAAUAAUAUAACGACAAUCUCUAUUUUCUGUCAAUAAAGUAGCAUCGAAGUUUAGAUCUUAAGGAGAUUAAGGACAAGCAAAAAGAGGCAAAGGGUUUUUUGAAUGGUUUUCUUUUUCUGACUGUAUAUUUUAUAAGAAACCUUCAAAAAUUACCAUAUAUAAAAAUAUAUGUAGUUAUUAGUUAAAUAUUUAGAUUUCUGCUACUUAUUACUUUCCGCAUAAUUCGAGUUACCAAUUUGAUUUUGCUUAAACAAAAUGUAAAUAAAAUAACGCUUACUUCUG
Nymphalis io (European peacock) is the source of this 1242-nucleotide long non-coding RNA. RefSeq lists it as uncharacterized. NCBI's taxonomy places the organism in Eukaryota, Metazoa, Arthropoda, Insecta, Lepidoptera, Nymphalidae. The transcript is spliced from 2 exons. The record is from RefSeq and is a predicted model, not a curated record.